CAUUUCCUCUCAUUCAGUUUGAUUUACACUUCUUCCUGGAAACCUGCAAUGAAAAACCCAUGCAUUUAAUUCACAGUGAGGAGUCCCCAGAAAUGGCCGUGCACAUCCCCGCGCGCCUGUGUACAUGUGAGUGCACUUCAGCUGUGCGCGGCCUGUUCCUCACCACACCAGCAGCUGUGUUCUUUUAUUAUUCCUUCCCAGGGCAGGGUCUAGCCUUGAGCACAGAAGCAGCUCCCCAGUCCAUUUUCUGCCCCAUCAUUGUUCACUGCACCCAGCGAUGACGGGGACAGAAGGGGGUGAAUGCCCGGCCGGCCAUCUCCCUCCUCUUCCAUCAAAGAAAGCCACAGAACGGGCACUGAUUUUCUUUUGCCUUCUCCUUAAAGCCACGUUUUCAUUUAAUCAUCACAGUGUAAUUUCUCUCGUGAGCCUGCCGCCCCUGCACAGAGCCAUUCCCAGCAGCAAGCGGAGGGGCCGCGCUGCGAUUCCUUACACUGGAGAGCCGAGGCAGGCAGGUGGCAAGGCCAGGCUGCCAGCCGGGCCCACGGUCACCAUGGAGACGGGCCAGUCCUGCCAGCCAGAAGCGCUGGCAGCCAGGGGAGCCAGGACGGGCGCAUGGACACAUAGGCUGGGAUUAUCUGUCACCGAGGCCUCCAAGGGGGCUUGACGACCUCAGGCACAGGCUCUUGGCUGGCGUUCUCCUGCUCAGGCAGCCAGAUAUUGGACUUGCCUCUUGCCAGGGAGAAAAAGGGAGGAGCUGGAAAGGAGAACUGGCCCCAUCUCAGACAAAGAGUCUUGUAAAUUAAACAAAAAACCCCAACAAACAAAACCCCAACAAAAAAAGCAAAUCCACCCCUUUCCCUCCAUCGUAAAGUGCACUGGCUUGACGCAGGCCUACAUGCAGGGUCCUGCGGUCUCUACUGUGCUCAGAAGAUCCUUGUUAAAAACAGAGUAAAUGGCCUGAUUCAAAGCCUUUUGAAUUGAAUUGAAAACCUCCAGUGGGCUUUAUUGGUUUUGGACCAAACCCAGAAGAAACAGAGACAACCAUUCCUGCUUCUGAACUUGCCUUCCAUCCAAGAUAUUUUCUGCAGCCCUGAGAAACAGAAAACUUCUAAUCUCUAAAAAUUAGGGAUUUUUAUUGAGUCAUGUGGCUCCAGGAGAUGAUGUAGAAAAUAAAAUUCCUUAUUUCUUGA
This is a long non-coding RNA of Cyanistes caeruleus (blue tit), 1190 nucleotides long. RefSeq lists it as uncharacterized. The record is from RefSeq and is a predicted model, not a curated record. Lineage: Eukaryota; Metazoa; Chordata; Aves; Passeriformes; Paridae.